Molecule: long non-coding RNA, 299 nt
Filed under: Mytilus galloprovincialis (Mediterranean mussel)
Lineage: Eukaryota; Metazoa; Mollusca; Bivalvia; Mytilida; Mytilidae
Source: RNAcentral
UGACCAAAUGGUCCGAGUACACAGUUAUUUCGUAGUGCAUUUCUUUUAGACAAUAAAGAAAAAUUAAAAAAAUCCCACCUGCGCUUUCUCAAUAAUAUUUUUACAGUGUGUUGUACUACUUUUGGGACAAAUUAUAUCAAAAUUAUAGAAAACUUCAUCAGCUCUAACUCAAAAUAUGGACAAUUUUAUGUUAAGGGGGUCUUGAAAUCUUUUGACAGCUUCCGAAGUGCUAAUUUUUGACCUUUUUCAGCUGGACCUAAUCACUACUUUACAUUAAUAUUUAUGACCCAAAUUUUUUU